AGAUUGAACGCUGGCGGCAUGCCUUACACAUGCAAGUCGAACGGCAGCACGGGGGCAACCCUGGUGGCGAGUGGCGAACGGGUGAGUAACAUAUCGGAACGUGCCCUGGAGUGGGGGAUAACUAGUCGAAAGACUAGCUAAUACCGCAUACGAUCUACGGAUGAAAGUGGGGGAUCGCAAGACCUCAUGCUCGUGGAGCGGCCGAUAUCUGAUUAGCUAGUUGGUGGGGUAAAGCCUACCAAGGCAUCGAUCAGUAGCUGGUCUGAGAGGACGACCAGCCACACUGGGACUGACGACACGGCCCAGACCUCCGUACGGGAGGCAGCGACGGUAGGGGUAAUUUUGGAACAAGUGGGCGACAAAGCCUGACUCCAGCAAUCGCCGCGUGAGUGAAAGAAGGCCGUUCGGUUAGUAAGUCUUCGUUUGUACUAAGGGAAGUAAACGGUUCGU
This 450-nucleotide ribosomal RNA is filed under the name uncultured soil bacterium. RNAcentral's name for it is "bacterial SSU rRNA". It matches the Rfam family "Bacterial small subunit ribosomal RNA", at positions 26 to 463 of the family's 1533-position model. The record is from RNAcentral.